RNAcentral lists this microRNA (25 nucleotides) under Gallus gallus (chicken). Its description in RNAcentral is "Gga-Mir-34-P3b_5p (mature (guide))". Lineage: Eukaryota; Metazoa; Chordata; Aves; Galliformes; Phasianidae. The record is from RNAcentral.
AGGCAGUGUGCUGUUAGCGGCUGCU